RNAcentral lists this ribosomal RNA (465 nucleotides) under Vreelandella stevensii. Its description in RNAcentral is "partial 16S ribosomal RNA". It matches the Rfam family "Bacterial small subunit ribosomal RNA", at positions 338 to 795 of the family's 1533-position model. Lineage: Bacteria; Pseudomonadati; Pseudomonadota; Gammaproteobacteria; Oceanospirillales; Halomonadaceae. The record is from RNAcentral.
CCUACGGGAGGCUGCAGUGGGGAAUAUUGGACAAUGGGGGGAACCCUGAUCCAGCCAUGCCGCGUGUGUGAAGAAGGCCCUCGGGUUGUAAAGCACUUUCAGUGAGGAAGAACGCCUGGUGGUUAAUACCCAUCAGGAAAGACAUCACUCACAGAAGAAGCACCGGCUAACUCCGUGCCAGCAGCCGCGGUAAUACGGAGGGUGCGAGCGUUAAUCGGAAUUACUGGGCGUAAAGCGAGCGUAGGUGGCUUGAUAAGCCGGUUGUGAAAGCCCCGGGCUCAACCUGGGAACGGCAUCCGGAACUGUCAAGCUAGAGUGCAGGAGAGGAAGGUAGAAUUCCCGGUGUAGCGGUGAAAUGCGUAGAGAUCGGGAGGAAUACCAGUGGCGAAGGCGGCCUUCUGGACUGACACUGACACUGAGGUGCGAAAGCGUGGGUAGCAAACAGGAUUAGAUACCCUAGUAGUC